This 855-nucleotide long non-coding RNA is filed under the name Anser brachyrhynchus (Pink-footed goose). RNAcentral's name for it is "lncRNA (ENSABRG00000002530.1)". Lineage: Eukaryota; Metazoa; Chordata; Aves; Anseriformes; Anatidae. The record is from RNAcentral.
UUGACUGCUAAUCUUAGAGUUCCUUUGCUCCUGUAUGCUGCACUAAGUAGAUCAUGAGCAGCUUGGGAAAAACAUAGCUGAAUUUCUUCUUCAGCUUUUCAUUUCUGUGGAAGAUGGAAAAUAUAUCUCUUAGAGGGGAGCAGUCCUGUUCUUCCUAUGUGUGCUUAUGACUAUUUAGCACGUUUAUUAGUGUGAUUUAUGUGUGUAUAAUGUAAGAGGAAAAGACUGUCUACAGUACUACAUUAGAUCAAGGGCCUGUUUUGCCCAGUAUCUUGUCUGUGCCUGAGGAAGACCAGAAGGAAAAAUCAAGCAUGCAGUGAUACUUCCCAGAAUUUCUUGAAGAAUUCCCUGAGCUAUAGCUUGACAUCUUCCAUGAGCGUAACAUUCUUUCUGAAUGCAUGCAAACAUUCUGCAACCAUGACAUAACCAGGAAUAAUUGCAUGUAAAAUACCAACAUAUUGGUUUUACUAAGAAAUGACUUAGCUACUGCAGAAGGUUUGGGCUUUCAAAACAAUAAUACAGUUCUGAAUUUUGACCCCAUUUAGAAAGUUCUGAUGUGUCUUCUUGAAGACUAUGAACUGAAGGUUCAAAGACCCUCUGGAAGCUGGAAUUGAUCCUGUAUCCACAGAGACUCAGGCUUCCUGUUUGCUUUUCAACUUGACAAGUCACUUCAAUGACUUUCAGCAAGAGAGUGGUAGAAAAUCUUGCACUUCUAAAUGGAAGAGAAUCCAAGAGCAAGAAACACUUUAGGAAAAAGGAAAGUAGUAGCUUCCUGGAGAAACAUCUCAGAACAAGAAAGAAAAAAGGAGAGGGAAGGAAGGAAGGAAGGAAGGAAGGAAGGAAGGAAGGAAGGAA